UAUCCGUUGUUAGAUAAUGCUUUUGUUCAUCUCUCAACAUAACAAGUACAUUCAUACAGUUAUUAAAAAUAUGACACUCUUUAUUACUAGUAAUUCUCAGCCAUCAGUUUGUAUUGGGAUUUUGUGGAAUACUUACUAAACUAAUAUACGUCUGUUUAAUGAAUGAAUAGCUAUGGUACAAUAUGAUACUCAGUGUUACAAAACAUGUGUAAUAUAAAUAUAAUGUCAUUUAUUUGAAGUCAUAAAAUUUAGUUGUCCAUACAAUGCUUACAGUUUUGCAAUUGCGAUGAUAAAGGAAAUGUUCUGCUCAAAAUGUCUUUUUAAGACAUGUGAAAAUUGUAGCAAUCAUAUUGUACUUGUAUUUAUAUUAAACAUUAUAAGAAUUUACUUACGGCUGAUGAUAGCGGCUGUUUACUAUUUGUGUUACAGUUAGUUUCACUCGACCAUUAGACCAUAUUUCCUUAAACAUGUGAUUGUUUAUAUUGAACUUUAAUUGAAUGCAUGAAACAUGAUUGUUCUGUUGCUUAACAGCUGAAAAAAGCUUGAUGUUUGUAAAAUUGUAUGAAAUGUUUCAAAUAAAUCAUAUUGAUUUCAUAAAAAAAUAAAAUUCCAUUUUGCGUUACUUUGAAUGCAUAACAAACAAUUGUUACCAUACAAUCAUAUUAGUAUUGAACUUAAUUAAUACUUUAAGAUGCAAUUUUUACAAUAAUGUGUUAAUAUUGUCAUCCAUUCCAAAUAAGCAUUGUGCAUUCGUAAAUAUAGGGUGUAUAUACACUGCUUAGAUGCCUUUUUAUGCCCCCCUUCGAAGAAGAGGGGGUAUAUUGCUUUGCUCAUGUCGGUAGGUCGGUCGGCCCGUCCGUCCACCAGAUGGUUGUCAGACGAUAACUCAAGAACGCUUGGGCCUAGGAUCAUGAAACUUCAAAGGUACAUUGAUCAUGACUCACAGAUGACCCCUAUUGAUUUUUAGGUCACUAGGUCAAAGGUCAAGGUCACGGUGACCCGAAAUAAUAAAAUGGUUUCCGGAUGAUAACUCAAGAACGCAUACGCCUAGGAUCUUAAAACUUUAUGGGUAGAUUGAUCAUGACUCGCAGAUGACCCCUAUUGAUUUUCAGGUCACUAGGUCAAAGGUCAAGGUCACGGUGACCCGAAUAUAGUAAAAUGGUUUCCGGAUUAUAACUCAAGAACGCAUACGCCUAGGAUCAUGAAACUUCAUGGGUAGAUUGAUCAUGACUCGCAGAUGACCCCUAUUGAUUUUCAGGUCACUAGGUUAAAGGUCACGGUGACCUGAAAUAGUAAAAUGGUUUCCGGAUGAUAACUCAAGAAGGCAAACGCCUAGGAUCAUGAAACUUCAUGGGUAGAUUGAUCAUGACUGGCAGAUCAGCUGUAUCGGGAGGAGGAGGCUGAAUAUGUCCCAAAAUUAGUCAGUGAAAACCAAGAUUUGGUCAGGGAAAAGUCAGUGAAAAGUCAGGGAAUUUUAUUUCAUCAGGUUGGUGGCAACCCUGAUAAACUACAUAGCAACUUCAUAUUUGGCUUACUGGGGGGCAUUGUGUUUCUCGAAGAAAUCUUGUUUAAAUUGCUUGUGCACGUCAUAUUGAUUAAAGACUCUUGCAUAUUUGUGUGUGCCUAUGUCUUACUUAUCUCUUCAUAGUCCUUAAAUUACUGCAAAUAGUAUUUUAAUAAUGUUACGAUAUUUAUCUAAACUAUAACCAGGUUAUCUGUUAAUUUAAGUUUCAUACAUUGUAUUGUCUAGCUAAUUAAAUUGAAGUGUCUAUAUUCUCGCCAACAUGCAUUGUCUGUGUAUGGUUUAGACAAAGCACAUUACACAACUCAUGUUGUUUUUCUCCAUCAUUAAUAACCGAUGUUUAUUCCGUAGAGGUCGCAUUAUACUAAAUAUUUCAGUUGUGCAAUGCUUUGCUCUCUUAAUAAAUCAGCACUAUUUAUUGAUUUUUUAUAUGGGCACUUCCCAUGACUUUAUUCGUGAAUAUUUCUUUGAAUGUGCGGUAGGGAAAAUAUUGUUUGCUUGAAGGUUAGAAACUUAAUGUUGACAUCUUGAAAGAUGGCAGUAAACAUUUAACUGCAGAGUAGCUGGGAAAAAGAUUGCUGUUAAAUAAUAAGACAGAACUCCACGCAAGAUAUGUCAUGCAUGCGAUAUGCAUGAACUAUCUUUUUAAAAUAAUUUGGAUCUGAAUUAUCUUUGAGAAAUGGUAUGGUUAUGAGGGUCUCUAUGUGCAAAAUGUUGCAUUUAUUUAGUGUACAAGUUAUUGCUUAAGCAUUGAUUUUGUUAUGGAAAUAAUAUAGUUUAUGUGACUUAAAGAGAUAUACAUGUUUAUUUUAGUGAUGUGUUUUUGCUGAUCCAAAUCUGUUCCUGCACACUAUUUAAAGUAGAUAACUACAAGUUAUCUCAUUUAAAUGGGAAUAGUAUUGUACUGUGGAAAAGUGUUGUGAGUUCAAAUAAAAAUACUAUGAACCGUU
Molecule: long non-coding RNA, 2472 nt
Organism: Dreissena polymorpha
Lineage: Eukaryota; Metazoa; Mollusca; Bivalvia; Myida; Dreissenidae
Exons: 2
Source: RefSeq, a predicted model, not a curated record